RNAcentral lists this ribosomal RNA (506 nucleotides) under uncultured bacterium. Its description in RNAcentral is "partial 16S ribosomal RNA". It matches the Rfam family "Bacterial small subunit ribosomal RNA", at positions 29 to 523 of the family's 1533-position model. The record is from RNAcentral.
AGUGAACGCUGGCGGUAGGCCUAACACAUGCAAGUCGAACGGCAGCACAGAAGAGCUUGCUCUCUGGGUGGCGAGUGGCGGACGGGUGAGGAAUACAUCGGAAUCUACUUUUUCGUGGGGGAUAACGUAGGGAAACUUACGCUAAUACCGCAUACGACCUACGGGUGAAAGCAGGGGACCUUCGGGCCUUGCGCGAUUGAAUGAGCCGAUGUCGGAUUAGCUAGUUGGCGGGGUGAAGGCCCACAAAGGCGACGAUCCGUAGCUGGUCUGAGAGGAUGUACAGUCACACUGGAACUGAGGCACGGGCCAGACUCCUACGGGAGGCAGCGGUGGGGAAUAUUGGGCAAUGGGCGCAAGCCUGAUCCAGCCAUACCGCGUGGGUGAAGAAGGCCUUCGGGUUGUAAAGCCCUUUUGUUGGGAAAGAAAUCCAGCUGGCUAAUACCCGGUUGGGAUGACGGUACCCAAAGAAUAAGCACCGGCUAACUUCGUGCCAGCCGCCGCCGUAA